GCCCUCUUAGUUCAGUGGCAGAACGUCCGCCUCGUAAGCGAAAGGUCACCAGUUCAAUUCUGGUAGUGGGCA
This is a non-coding RNA of Chytridium lagenaria, 72 nucleotides long. NCBI's taxonomy places the organism in Eukaryota, Fungi, Chytridiomycota, Chytridiomycetes, Chytridiales, Chytridiaceae. The record is from the annotation of a GenBank genome assembly.